GCUCUACGCAUGCGCUCCUACCUGAGCCGAGCCUACAAUCCAAACCUCCCUCGCCCAACUCUGCCCGCCACAGAUGCCCCUGGGCUCCCCUCCAGACCCUGCCCCGCAUCCCCGCCAGCCUGAAGCUCCUGCGCACCUGGGCUGGGGGAGCCGGUCGGCACCCCCGGAGUCGGAGCAUCACCGCCGCUCGGAGUUGCCACAGCGACGGGGAGGAUCUCGAUGGAGACAGCAUCCCCCGGCCCCCGCAGAAUACGGAUUAACCCCUUCUCCUCCAGCUCCUCCACCUUCAGCUCCAGGGCCGAGGGCCGCGUCGGGGCAGCGGGAGGCGCUUUCUCAGGCUCUGGGGGACGCCUGGAGGGCCCCAUGGCGGUCGAUUCGCUGAAGCGCUCCUACGAACCCCACGGGAGGGGUCAGUGCCCACCAGCAGGCUCCUUGGCACCAAGCCUCCAUCUUCUUCCCGGGGUGGAGGGAGAUGUCAAGCCUAGAAGCCUCAGCUGGCCUGUUCUUGGGCGCCUGGCCUACCACCCGCCCCAGCCUCACCCGCAGGGUCUCCAACUCCUUGCGCGCCUGGCUUAGCUGUUUUUCCAGUUCUGCAAUCUUGGCCAUGGAUUCGUUCUCCGCGUCCCGAAGCCGCUCUGUCAGCUGUAGCACCAGCACAUGUUCCUCCAUGUGCUCCAGCACAGCGUUCUUGGUCUCUGUGUCCUCCAGCAGCGCCCCCACAUCAAAAAUAUUGUCCAGGUACGCCUGGAUCUGCACCUGCAGCUUGUCACUCUCGAUGGCAAAACUGACACUGAGAGAGAGGAAGAGGCCUAUCCAAGGUCACACGGCAGGCAACGGCAGAGCCAGGAUUUAAACCCAGGUCUACCUGACCCCAGCACUCAUGCUGCUAACCACUCAGCCAUACUCUGCCGUGGGCAGGCAGUUCAGUCUGGGGGGCAGUACAGGGCUUACCUCCAAGUACAGGUCCAGGCCCAAGUGGGUGAACUCAUAUUGCAGGAAGACACGGAAGUUCAUGUUCUCCACCGAAUGUACCACAAUGUUGAUGAACUGCAUGCAGGCCACCUGGGAGCCAGGGACAUGGGGAGAUCUAUGAUCCUCUAGGUGGGGUUGCUCAAUGCCUUCCACCUCCACUUACCCCAAGCCUCCCUCCUUCUCCACAGUUCUCACUCCACUAACUCCCAGCCUUGGCCUGCCCAACAUUUCACCUCCAUGUUCCCUCAAUCCAGCCCCCUGCCAACAUCCACCCUUCCCCUACUGACCACUCAGUCCUUACGCUUUGCGGGGGCAGAGCCCAUUGCCCAGCACCCAGGACCCUAGCUGCUCCCUGCACCCAAGAGGGCCUGGCCCAGGCCUCAGGCUGCUGGGCUCCUGAGCUCACCAUGAAGUCGAUGUUGCUGUCCUCAUUCCGGAAAUAUUCCAUCAGCUUUUCAAAGCGGUGCUGCUCCCCACACACCUGGGUAAGGGGAAUGGCUCUCACUGAGGCCCAGUGACACACGUCCUAAGCUACCUUCUGGCUGCCACACCUGUGCUUCAACAGGCUCCUCUCCAGUUAAUUCUAAGUUGAGCCACGUCACUCUUCUGCUCAAAACCUCCACUCCCUCUCAAUCUCCCACUCUCCCUCACUUUUUCCACUCUGGCCACACUGGCAUCCUGGCACAUUCCCACCCCAGGGCCUUUGCACUUACUGUUCCAACUCCCUGGAGUGCCCUCACUCCCACACCAAGUCCCUUGCUUCCUUCACAGCUUUGCUGAAAUCUCACUUGCUCAGUGAGGCCUUCCCUGACCACCCUGCAACCAAUUCCCCCUCCCUCUGCAACAUUGCUGGCUUUUUUCUCACAGCAUUUAUCAUUUCCUAACAUACUAUGUAAUUUGCUUGUUUAUUAUAUCGUUUCUGUCUUUCCCUAUAUGGUUUCCUUUGUUCACUGAUGUGCCCAAGUGCCCUGUUCCUGACACAUAGUAGGCACUCAAUAAAUAUUCAUUAAAGGAAUGAAUGAAUGAA
RNAcentral lists this long non-coding RNA (1999 nucleotides) under Homo sapiens (human). RNAcentral's name for it is "FMNL1 antisense RNA 1, transcript variant 2 (FMNL1-AS1)". Lineage: Eukaryota; Metazoa; Chordata; Mammalia; Primates; Hominidae. The record is from RNAcentral.